CCUGGCGGCGUGCUACACAUGCAGUCGAACGCGAAGGGGGCAACCCGAGUAGAGUGGCGUCGGGUGACGGGAAUAAACACGUGGAUAAUCUACCUUUGGAUGGGGAAUAACUCCGCGAAAGUGGAGCUAAUACCGCAUAACAGGUUUAGGGGGCAUCCUUGAAAUCUCAAAGCGGGGGACCGCAAGGCCUCGCGUCCGAAGAGGAGUCCGCGGCCGAUUAGCUAGUUGGUGAGGUAAAGGCUCACCAAGGCUGCGAUCGGUAGCCGGCCUGAGAGGGUGACCGGCCACACUGGCACUGAAACACGGGCCAGACUCCUACGGGAGGCAGCAGUGGGGAAUUUUGGGCAAUGGCCGAAAGGCUGACCCAGCAACGCCGCGUGAAGGAUGAAAUCUUACGGGAUGUAAACUUCGUAAGUCAGGGAA
RNAcentral lists this ribosomal RNA (423 nucleotides) under uncultured Acidobacteriota bacterium. Its description in RNAcentral is "bacterial SSU rRNA". It matches the Rfam family "Bacterial small subunit ribosomal RNA", at positions 36 to 446 of the family's 1533-position model. The record is from RNAcentral. Lineage: Bacteria; Pseudomonadati; Acidobacteriota.